This 73-nucleotide transfer RNA is filed under the name Gracilaria urvillei. Its description in RNAcentral is "tRNA-Glu". It matches the Rfam family "tRNA". From Rfam's summary of the family: Transfer RNA (tRNA) molecules are approximately 80 nucleotides in length. Their secondary structure includes four short double-helical elements and three loops (D, anti-codon, and T loops). Further hydrogen bonds mediate the characteristic L-shaped molecular structure. tRNAs have two regions of fundamental functional importance: the anti-codon, which is responsible for specific mRNA codon recognition, and the 3' end, to which the tRNAs corresponding amino acid is attached (by aminoacyl-tRNA synthetases). tRNAs cope with the degeneracy of the genetic code in two manners: having more than one tRNA (with a specific anti-codon) for a particular amino acid; and 'wobble' base-pairing, i.e. permitting non-standard base-pairing at the 3rd anti-codon position. The record is from RNAcentral. Lineage: Eukaryota; Rhodophyta; Florideophyceae; Gracilariales; Gracilariaceae.
GCUCCUAUCGUUUAAAGGUAGAAGACAAUGCUUUUUCGUGGCAUAAAUGUGGGUUCAAAUCCCACUGGGAGUA